AGAACGAACGCUGGCGGCAUGCCUAACACAUGCAAGUCGAACGCCUGUAGCAAUACAGGAGUGGCGCACGGGUGAGUAACGCGUGGGAACCUGCCCUGGAGUGGGGGAUAACCGAGAGAAAUUUCGGCUAAUACCGCAUACGUCCUGAGGGAGAAAGAUUUAUCGCUCUAGGAGGGGCCCGCGUCGGAUUAGCUAGUUGGUGGGGUAACUGCCUACCAAGGCAACGAUCCGUAGCUGGUCUGAGAGGAUGAUCAGCCACACUGGGACUGAGACACGGCCCAGACUCCUACGGGAGGCAGCAGUGGGGAAUAUUGGACAAUGGGGGAAACCCUGAUCCAGCAAUGCCGCGUGAGUGAUGAAGGCCUUAGGGUUGUAAAGCUCUUUCGGCGGGGACGAUGAUGACGGUACCCGCAGAAGAACGCCCGGCUAACUUCGCGCCAGCAGCCGC
This 448-nucleotide ribosomal RNA is filed under the name uncultured bacterium. RNAcentral describes it as "SSU rRNA". It matches the Rfam family "Bacterial small subunit ribosomal RNA", at positions 26 to 518 of the family's 1533-position model. The record is from RNAcentral.